Pieris brassicae (large cabbage white) is the source of this 845-nucleotide RNA transcript. It is a transcript of the gene named 40S ribosomal protein S9, with no coding region annotated. Lineage: Eukaryota; Metazoa; Arthropoda; Insecta; Lepidoptera; Pieridae. The transcript is spliced from 5 exons. The record is from RefSeq and is a predicted model, not a curated record.
GUUGACAGUGACAAUUGGCACCCUGUUGGCUAUUCAUACGACAGGCGACUGCCACUUGUGUUUUGAGUUUACCCUAACCUCUUUUUCGGCGGGCCGUAAUCAACGAAGCUCGCCAUCAUGGUGAACAACCGAGUGCCGUCGGUCUUUUCGAAGACAUACGUAACCCCACGUCGUCCUUUUGAGAAGGCGCGUCUUGAUCAGGAAUUAAAGAUCAUCGGUGAAUAUGGUCUGAGGAACAAGCGCGAGGUAUGGAGAGUAAAGUACACACUGGCUAGGAUCCGUAAGGCUGCCCGUGAGCUUCUAACCUUAGAAGAGAAAGAUCCCAAAAGAUUGUUUGAAGGUAACGCGCUUCUUCGUCGUUUAGUACGUAUUGGAGUGCUUGAUGAGAAGCAAAUGAAGCUUGAUUACGUCUUGGGUUUAAAAAUUGAAGAUUUCUUGGAACGCCGUCUCCAAACGCAAGUUUUCAAAGCUGGACUGGCUAAAUCUAUUCAUCAUGCUAGGAUCCUCAUUAGGCAGAGACAUAUACGGUGAUGCUGAAUGAACCCCGGGUGAAGCCGGUUUGAAAAUGUAUAUUUUUCUUAAAGACCACUUGAUUCUUUGUAUGAUAUCAAUGUCUUGAAAUGUGCUCAUUUUGAGCCUUUAUAAGUGUUCGCAAGCAAGUUGUAAACAUCCCAUCAUUCAUAGUCCGUCUGGACUCUGGUAAACACAUUGACUUCUCCCUGAAGUCACCAUUCGGAGGUGGCAGACCUGGACGUGUCAAGAGGAAGAACCUCCGCAAGGGACAAGGUGGUGGUGCUGCUAACGAUGAGGAAGAAGAUUAAACAAAUAAAUAACUAUUGUUAUUA